GAUGAACGCUGGCGGCGUGCCUAAUACAUGCAAGUCGAGCGAACGGACGAGAAGCUUGCUUCUCUGAUGUUAGCGGCGGACGGGUGAGUAACACGUGGAUAACCUACCUAUAAGACUGGGAUAACUUCGGGAAACCGGAGCUAAUAACGGAUAAUAUUUUGAACCGCAUGGUUCAAAAGUGAAAGACGGUCUUGCUGUCACUUAUAGAUGGAUCCGCGCUGCAUUAGCUAGUUGGUAAGGUAACGGCUUACCAAGGAAACGAUGGGUAGCCGACCUGAGAGGGUGUUCGGCGACACUGGAACUGAGACACGGUCCAGACUCCUACGGGAGGCAGCAGUAGGGAACCUUCCGCAGUGGGCGAAAGCCUGACGGAGCAACGCCGCGUGAGUGAUGACGGUCUUCGGAUCGUAAAACUCUGUUAUUAGGGAAGAACAUAUGUGUAAGUAACUGUGCACAUCUUGACGGUACCUAAUCAGAAAGCCCCGGCUAACUACGUG
Molecule: ribosomal RNA, 497 nt
Filed under: uncultured bacterium
Lineage: Bacteria
Description: partial 16S ribosomal RNA
Rfam family: Bacterial small subunit ribosomal RNA
Source: RNAcentral